RNAcentral lists this long non-coding RNA (239 nucleotides) under Helianthus annuus (common sunflower). RNAcentral's name for it is "sRNA HanXRQr2_Chr05g0209351". Lineage: Eukaryota; Viridiplantae; Streptophyta; Magnoliopsida; Asterales; Asteraceae. The record is from RNAcentral.
UCUGAUUCAAGCUCUCUAAGUGGAAGUAUAUGCUUCCUACCUGAGAGAGAAUCGGGUUCAAAUCUUGCGGGGACCUUCUUUUAUGGCCAAUGCGAAGUACUGCUCUAUGAUUAUUGAUGAUAUAUGCUAUGCUUAGGAUGGACUCGUGCCUUAGAGACUUUAAACUUGAAAGAUAAUAGUUGUACUUAUUUGAUUGUAUUUAAACAAUGAGUUCAUUUAUUCAAUAAAACAAAAUUAUU